This 427-nucleotide ribosomal RNA is filed under the name uncultured bacterium. RNAcentral's name for it is "bacterial SSU rRNA". It matches the Rfam family "Bacterial small subunit ribosomal RNA", at positions 354 to 796 of the family's 1533-position model. The record is from RNAcentral.
GUGGGGAAUAUUGCGCAAUGGGGGAAACCCUGACGCAGCCACGCCGCGUGGGUGAUGAAGGCCUUCGGGUUGUAAAGCCCUGUCGGGAGGGACGAAGUUCUGACGGUACCUCCCAAGAAAGCACCGGCUAACUCCGUGCCAGCAGCCGCGGUAAUACGGAGGGUGCGAGCGUUGCUCGGAAUCACUGGGCGUAAAGCGUACGCAGGCUGUCGUACAAGUCGGGUGUGAAAGCCCGGGGCUCAACCCCGGAACUGCGCCCGAGACUGUAUGACUUGAAUGCGGGAGAGGGAAGCGGAAUUCCUGGUGUAGAGGUGAAAUUCGUAGAUAUCAGGAGGAACACCAGUGGCGAAAGCGGCUUCCUGGCCCGACAUUGACGCUCAUGUACGAAAGCGCGGGGAGCAAACAGGAUUAGAUACCCUAGUAGUCC